Molecule: ribosomal RNA, 230 nt
Filed under: uncultured bacterium
Lineage: Bacteria
Description: partial 16S ribosomal RNA
Rfam family: Bacterial small subunit ribosomal RNA
Source: RNAcentral
AAAGCGUGCGCAGGCGGUUAUACAAGACAGGCGUGAAAUCCCCGGGCUCAACCUGGGAACUGCAUUUGUGACUGUAUAGCUGGAGUGCGGCAGAGGGGGAUGGAAUUCCGCGUGUAGCAGUGAAAUGCGUAGAUAUGCGGAGGAACACCGAUGGCGAAGGCAAUCCCCUGGGCCUGCACUGACGCUCAUGCACGAAAGCGUGGGGAGCAAACAGGAUUAGAUACCCCUGU